GACAAUACUCCUUUCAUAUCACCCAAAAUGCUAAAAAGACACUAGUAUUAAGUGGCAAGAUGUUUGCCCCAACCCCGAUCUUGACUCUUGACCUUGAUUCGAGACUCUAUUUUGACCUUGACUUUAGACCCGAGACAUGAUUUUGGAUCUCGACCAGGGAUAAAAUUCCCAAUCCCAUCCCAUAAUCUAUUUCUUGAUCCCCGACUCUGACUACUUGGAAUUCGUUUCUCGAUCCCCUACCUUGACUCGGGAUCGUCACCUAACUUGGAACCCACUCCUUAUCUGAUUCUAGACCCAACCCUGUGUUGGGAAACAACAAAAUAAAAAUGUUAACAAAAUAUUAUAAUAAUAAUAUUAACAAUACAAUAACAUAACAGUCACCUAACUACUUCUUAACAAGUUAAUAUAUUAAUUAUACUUGAGUCAUGCUAGGCACUGUCCUAAGAAACUAUUUCAGCAGUGUGAAAUAUUUUUUCAGGAUUAAACAAACACUUCCAUGAUCAACUAAAGGAUUUCUGAGUUAAAUAAGUCUUUCCUAAUUAACCAGAGUAUACAUGAAUCAACAAAACUAUUAAUAUAAAUAUCAACAAAUUAAACUAUAGGUUUACUAAAUACUAACUAAAAUCACUAAGGAAUAUAAUAUAGAAGGGAAGAGGAAAAUGUCAAAAAGAAAGGAGAUUGUGUAACUAAGACUUAAAUUCUCAAGUACAUCUCUUGAUGACUUCUAGAGUAAGGUUUCUCAAGUACAUCUCUUGAUGACUUCUAGAGUAAGGUUUCUCAAGUACAUCUCUUGAUGACUUCCAGAGCCUUCUCAAGUAUAUCUCUUGAUAACUUUCAAAGUAAGCCUUCUCAAGUACAUUUGUUGAUGACUUUCAAAGUAAGCCUUUUAAGUAGCUUCUAAGAUGCAUUUAAAGACAUGAUUUUUUCAAUACACUUCAAAUAUAAAUUAUUUUGAAAUAACUAAAUAAUUUUCCUACACCCUAACCCCACUUUGACCCUGAUCCAAGAUUGGACUCCCGGCCUCGACCAGGAACCCAAUUCUAAUCAGUAACCAGCCUCUAAAACCGACCCAAGAGUUGGAUCUCGGGUUGGGAUCGGACUCAGAUAGAAAGGACAUUUUUCUUGAAUUUGAGAAGAAUAAGUUCACUCAGAAAAAUAUUUUUCAAAACAUUAAUUUAACUAACCAAACAUGAAAACAUUGGAGUUCCAACCUACCAAACACCCAUUCUAUACUGUUUUUCAUGAAGUUCAAAUUCUAGUCAAGAGAGACACUGCAGCCAGUGACAAUGAAACUCCCCAAUAACAUGAGAGACUCUAGUCAAGACCAAAGUAACGUGGAACAAUGCACACCCUCUAGUACACGGACCAUCAGGAAACUUCCCAACUAAUAGAUUCAUUCCACGCGCGAGAGAUCAAGAGUUGGAUCAGAGAAACCAGACUUAUGAAUUUAUUUGUUGCUAUUGCAAUUGGUCUUGGACAAGAACAAAAUGCAUCAUUUGAUGAGUGCACUACUCACAACCAAAAAACUUUUUUCCUCUGCCUCCGUAAAAAAGCGGAAGAAAGAGCAGGAUUGCUAUUUAAAUAAUGGAAGUGCAGUGCUAGAGGAGAUUCUUGCUUUAUGCAACGGAAAUUGCCGAAUUCCCAUCCGUUACUUCACUGCCACUGAGAUAGAAAGGGCGAUCAAGCACCCUGAAAAGAAAAUAGAACUCGACGAAGGCUAUAUGGUUACAGGCUCCCUAGACAACCACCUCUUUUUAAUUAGGUUCUCUCUCUAUUCCUAUGGCGUGCACCGAGAUAUAGCAAUUACAGCUCAGAUGAGUCAUCUCAAGAAUGUGCUGAGACUUAUUGGUUGCUGUCUAGAAUUUGAAGAACCGGUUAUGGUGUAUGAAUAUAUUGAAGGGAUAUCUCUCGGCGAUCUACUUUUCGAAGAGGGUAAUCAUGAUGAUCAAACUAGAAAUUCACUAUUAUCUUGGGGAAGUAGAUUACGAAUUGCCAAUGAGGUUGCUUCUGCACUCGUCUUUCUCCAUACCGAAUUUACUACACCUAUCAUCCACAGAGAUAUAAAGCCUCACAAAGUGAUAAUAGAUCAGAAUAGCAGCAUUGCCAAAAUAGUGGACUUCUCAUUUUCCAUAUCAUUGCCUUCAGGGGAAUUGGAGGUACAAGAUCGUGUGUGCGGAACAAUCGAGUAUUUAGAUCCAGAAUAUGGCUACUGUGGUAUUAUUACUCAAAAAACUGACGUGUACAGCUUUGGAGUUCUUCUCUUUGAGCUAUUAACUGGAAAGGAAUUGCGUGAUAUUAUGGAAUCCAACGUUGAAGAGGGUAAUGUUAUGGAUAGAGUGGAUUCUGCAAUUUCAGAAGAGACAAUAAAUUUUGAAAAUUUUCUACCUAACCUCAUCGAUCGCUAUAUUAAAGAGGGUAACAUAAUGGACAUAGCAGAUAAUGCCAUUUUAGAAGAGCAUGGAAUUGAGAUCCAACAGCAAUUGCAAGAUUACUUGAAUCUUGUGAAGAAAUGCACAACUUACAACAGAAAAAAUAGACCAUACAUGAUUCAAGUUGCAAAGGAAUUAUGCCGAAUUCACAAGUGCUUCCAUGCCUUCA
RNAcentral lists this long non-coding RNA (2598 nucleotides) under Capsicum annuum. RNAcentral describes it as "long non-coding RNA (CANN_LNC009585)". The record is from RNAcentral. Lineage: Eukaryota; Viridiplantae; Streptophyta; Magnoliopsida; Solanales; Solanaceae.